Molecule: long non-coding RNA, 1334 nt
Filed under: Homo sapiens (human)
Lineage: Eukaryota; Metazoa; Chordata; Mammalia; Primates; Hominidae
Description: HSALNT0372098
Source: RNAcentral
GGGAAUAAAAGCUGGCCACCCCAGCCAGCAGUGGUAACCGGUUUGGGUCCUUUUUCGCAAUGUGGAGUCUUCGUCCUUUUGCUCUUCCCAAAAAACCUUGCUGCCUCUUACUUUUUGGGUCUGUGCCAUCUUUAAGAGCUGUAACACUCACCGUGAAGGUCCGUGGCUUCAUUGAUGAAGUCAGUGAGAAUCAUGAAGUCAGCCAGAGUACUGAGUCCGGAGCUGGCUCUCCUUUACCAGAGUCAGAUCAUGGUCAUCAGACACGUCCCAUUCUCACUCAACCCAGGGGCAACAGAGUGCUGACCACAAAGCACGUGCUUAAUGAGUGAUGAGUGACCCAAAAAACAAAUCAGAAGAUGGGCAAAAAUUCAUCAUCUAAGGGACUAGAAGAAAUGGGAUAUCCUGUGAGGUUCAGAAAAGCCCAGCAAGGGUCAGGGGACACCACUGCAGAAGAAUCAUUGUCAAAUCAUCGCAUAGGAAAACCCAGCAGCCUCAGAGGGGCUCCUGCAGGCCAAGCUCAUGUACAGUGGGCCUGUGCUCUUCCUUAGCAGAAGGGCGUGGCCAGCCCUUGCCCACUGUCCUUACGGCGGGCUUCAACCUGGGCUCAACCUGCACUCUCUUCCCAUCUGCAGCCCUGGAGGGAAUCGACUGCCAGUUUAAGGAGUCAUUGUCCAGUUCAGACUCCAGAAUACGAAACGUAGAAACUGACAGGAAAUGACCAAGUAUAAAUUGCAACUUGUAAAGAAUCAUCUUAAAUCCUGGCACUGCGUUCAAGGGGGAGUUUGAGCAAGGAAUGUUGCUAAAACGGCUAAAACCAGGAACUCAGAAUAUCGUUCUACAAUAGAACCUAAAAACUGUUUCCAACCCAUCACGACAUCACCCUGAAAAAUGAGUGAGCAGUCACUGAGGCUUCCCAAGUUUGAAAAUUCCACAAGACUGAGAGCAAAUGUUUUGUUGAAACUGAAGUCAAGAUGAAGUCAGCUGACUCUCAAACCUCAGGUGAAGUGACUCAGGGCCCACACCCCGGUUCUGAGGCAGGGACACAUUUUACUUGCAGCACCCUGCAGCUUUGGAUGAGGCUGCAACCCGGGUGAAUCCUGGCCCUGCUAUCACGUGGGCAGCCACUGCAUCCUCCGGAGGCUGUGGAUGGGAGUCACCAUGCUGGGAGGUCUGGAGUAAGAUCUGUGCCAUCUGCCUUGCCCAAUCCUGUACCAGUGCCUGUGUUUCAAAAUCUCAAAAUAAAAGUGAUUAUUCUUGCAACACAUCUAGGUGUACUAAACGAAUACAAAAAAGCCUUCGAUUAUUGCUGCACACAUCAUUACAAGAUGAAAUAG